Molecule: long non-coding RNA, 171 nt
Organism: Nothoprocta perdicaria
Lineage: Eukaryota; Metazoa; Chordata; Aves; Tinamiformes; Tinamidae
Exons: 3
Source: RefSeq, a predicted model, not a curated record
CAUCUCAAUAGGCUUCUCCAGGGAUCCAUGGUGGUGGCUGGACCUGCUCAGCUCUCCCUCAGGCUGGCAUCUUCUACUGUUGCCCCGAUAUGAAGCAGGCAUCUCAUGUAGAAAGUAAGGUCUGACAAUGUUGAUCAUCUUUGGCAGACAGCAGUCCUGAACCAAAUGGAA